AUUGAACGCUGGCGGCAUGCCUAACACAUGCAAGUCGAACGAGUGGCGGACGGGUGAGUAAUGUCUGGGAAACUGCCCGAUGGAGGGGGAUAACUACUGGAAACGGUAGCUUAUACCGCAUACCAUCGGAUGUGCCCAGAUGGGAUUAGCUAGUAGGGGGGGUAACGGCUCACCUAGGCGACGAUCCCUAGCUGGUCUGAGAGGAUGACCGGCCACACUGGAACUGGGACACGGUCCAGACUCCUACGGGAGGCAGCAGUGGGGAAUAUUGGACAAUGGGCGCAAGCCUGAUGCAGCAAUGCCGCGGGGAUGAAGAAGGCUUUCGGGUGGUAAAGUACUUUCAGCGGGGAGGCGUUACUCGCAGAGGAAGCACCGGCUAACUACGUGCCAGCAGCCGCGGUAAUUC
RNAcentral lists this ribosomal RNA (406 nucleotides) under uncultured bacterium. Its description in RNAcentral is "partial 16S ribosomal RNA". It matches the Rfam family "Bacterial small subunit ribosomal RNA", at positions 30 to 526 of the family's 1533-position model. The record is from RNAcentral.